Molecule: ribosomal RNA, 428 nt
Filed under: uncultured bacterium
Lineage: Bacteria
Description: partial 16S ribosomal RNA
Rfam family: Bacterial small subunit ribosomal RNA
Source: RNAcentral
GUAGGGAAUAUUGCGCAAUGGACGAAAGUCUGACGCAGCGACGCCGCGUGAGUGAUGAAGGCCUUAGGGUCGUAAAGCUCUGUUGAAUGGGAAGAAAAAAAUGACGGUACCAUUCGAGGAAGGACCGGCUAACUUCGUGCCAGCAGCCGCGGUAAUACGAGGGGUCCUAGCGUUGUUCGGAAUCAUUGGGCGUAAAGGGUGUGUAGGUGGCCAUGUAAGUCAGGUGUGAAAGCCCCGGGCUCAACCCGGGAAGUGCACUUGAUACUGCGUGGCUUGAGUACCGAAGAGGGUAGUGGAAUUCCAGGUGUAGUGGUGAAAUACGUAGAUAUCUGGAGGACCACCGGUGGCGAAGGCGGCUACCUGGUCGAGUACUGACACUGAGACACGAAAGCAUGGGGAUCAAACAGGAUUAGAUACCCCGGUAGUCC